UUGCUCCAAGGACUCGAGAGUCUUGGGGCGCGGGAAACAGACAGUGGGCAACUUAACACUCUUUUGAACGGUCUCUUCGAUAUUCUCGGUCCUUUCAUCACAAUGGGAUUUUCUGAGUCCCCCUCACCUUGAGGGACACAGCAUCGAACGUGACCUUCAGGCAAACCUCGGUGACCUUUUGGGGUCAAGUGGAGAGGAUCCUUGGCUUGAUGACGCAGAGAGAAAGGAGUUCGUGGAUUCGGUGGAGAACAAGAAACAAGAGGACAAAGCCCGGGUGUUUGGUGUCUUGACAACUAUAGAUAGAGCUGCAAACCUGGCUCUGAGGGCCGUGCAGCCGGACGGUCGGUC
Molecule: long non-coding RNA, 348 nt
Organism: Branchiostoma belcheri (Belcher's lancelet)
Lineage: Eukaryota; Metazoa; Chordata; Leptocardii; Amphioxiformes; Branchiostomatidae
Exons: 3
Source: RefSeq, a predicted model, not a curated record